Long non-coding RNA from Phycodurus eques (leafy seadragon), 2462 nucleotides. RefSeq lists it as uncharacterized. NCBI's taxonomy places the organism in Eukaryota, Metazoa, Chordata, Actinopteri, Syngnathiformes, Syngnathidae. The record is from RefSeq and is a predicted model, not a curated record. The transcript has 4 exons.
GACAACAACAAUGGAUCACAUCGUGUGUAUUAUAAGAACAAAAUGGGGGGAAAAGACGUGUGCUGGUGGUCACCGGUGCUCGGGAGAGGACUUUCAUUCAAGGAUUGCUUGAGAGAGGGCGCCAUAUGAAAUCUCGGUCCAGUCCGCGAAGAAAAAUAAAACGGCUCGCGGACCUUCGUCGUUCCCCUACGCCCGAGUACAAGAAAGCUGAUAUUGGACGACUCCCUUAUUAGAGACUUUUAUGCGGCUCACCCGGGGAAACCUGGUAGGACGCCGUUGAGAUGGGGGUACUGUCAUGAGCUGUGCCCUGCAGUCCUUUUGCUGAUGCGCGGGUGGAGUUUUGCGCUCCUCUCGCCCUCUCUCUUUCCCUCCCUUUCUCUCUUCCCAGUAAUCAGCUCGGCCGCGCACCUGUCAUCAAUCAGCCCUCAUCAUCACCCGCAUAAAAGCCUGCCAGAUCCCGGAAACUCUCGCCAGAGUAUUAACAUUCUCCUGUGUGCUCCUUCCGUGUUCCCUGCCGUGCUGACCUCCUCCACCACGCCGCCAAGCCCUCCCCCUGCUCACGGAUGGAUCACACAUCAUCAUCAAAUCAGACAGAAUGUCAAAUUGCUAUUUUUUUCUGUCCGCAUUGGCACAGCAGCUGAUCAUUUUAACUGAGAAAACUUUCCAAAAAGUAGGUUUUCAGUGACCGAGAGUGUAGUUUGUGCAUGGAUGAAAAGCAAAAAAGUUUUUUUACCCAUCCCCAUGUUGGAAAAUACAUGGAAUACAGUUUCAGAGGUAUACAUUGAGAUGUUUUGGCAAUUAUAUUUACAAUUCAAUUAACGCCUUUUAAAGUUAAUUCAUUGCAGAGUAGGGACUGUUGAGAUAAGUCCCAGUCAUCUAUCAUUUAAAUAGCUUGUCCUCUGUAGGGUCACUGGAACCUAUCCCAGCAGAUAUCGAGCAAGAGUCUAUCGUAUAUACCUUUGACAGCUUACCAGUCAAUCACAGGGCUGAGCUAGAGGCUCUUUUUAAACACUUUACAACUAUAGUCUCCAGUUACUCAAAGUUGUAUGAGUUUAGCCUGUGGGAGGAAGUCAGCAUUUUCAGAGAGCACCCCCACAGACACAGUGAGAACCAACUGCAAAUAGAAAGGACCCAACCAGGUCAUGGGUUUGGCAUGCAAAAACUUAGAGAGUGCUGAUUAGAGAGUGCUGCUAGUGGUAACUGUGCCGCGCCUGUUAUAGAAACAUCCAUCCAUCCAUCCAUCCAUCCAUCCAUCCAUCCAUCCAUCCAUUUUCUUCACCGCUUAUCCUCACUAGGGUCCCGGGCUGCUGGAGCCUAUCCUGGCUAUCUUCGGGCGGGAGGCGGGGUACACCCUGAACCGGUCGCCAGCCAAUCGCAAGGCACAUGGAAAACAAACAACCAUUUGCACUCACAUUCACACCUACGGGCAAUUUAGAGUCUUCAAUCAACCUACCACACAUGUUUUUGGGAUGUGGGAGGAAACCGGAGUGCCCGGAGAAAACCCACGCAGGCACGGGGAGAACAUGCAAACUCCACACAGGCGGGGCCGGGGAUUGAACCGGGGUCCCCAGAACUGUUGAGGCAGAUGUGCUAACCAGUCGUCCACCGUGCCGGCUGUUAUAGAAACAAGUGAUCAUAAAAUAAAUAAUGGCACAUGAUUAAUCCUAAGGGUGUUAAUUAACUGGCAUCUCAAAGUAAAACUUGUAGACAGUUUGAACAAAGUAGUCUCACCAUGUAAUAAAUUCAACAGUGCAAGGGAUCUACUGUACAUAUUGCAAUGGUUUUGGCGCGUAAGAAGCAGACGUGCUUAAAUAAAAUCUUGUGGUCACGCACCUACAACCUAUUCUUUACAAUUGGUCAAGAGGAAAAUAAAAUAAAAACAUAUUUAGAAAAAUGUGAACAGCAAAUCUGCUGAAUUGGAGACAUUCAUCAACUAUCCAGAACUCUAUACAUCUGGAACAUUCAAAAUACCACCAUAUUCUUCUUAUAAGAUUAGUUUGGGGUGUACCCAAUGAUAGCCCUAUGUAUGACUGCAAACCAUCGGAGCCAUCUCGAGGUUUUUGGUACUCCAGAUUCGUGGUUCUCAAACUGGGGUCCCCAUACCUCGGGGGUCUGAAAGCUAUAGAUAAUUUACAAUAAAUUGUGUUAUGUCGCCAACUAAGCUCCAAUAAUGUCAGUUGUUCUCACAAAGCAAAGACAAUAUAUGCCUGUGAGUAUUGUUGUAUUCUCUGUUUGUGUGUUUUGCUACUCUGUUGUGUUAAAGUAGCAGGUUUAGAAUUUUCACGGCAUCAAUGACUCAAGCCCCUUGAUGGCGUUUCCUAUUGUUGUUAGCAUUGAACAAGCAUAUUUACGUUAGACGAAACUAUGUGAUUUGGUUGAACAUUUUGGUGUUUAUAUACAAAAUGUUUGUCUUUUAAUUUUUACAGUAAACUUCCCCUGGGAGUGACAAAUAAACAGCUUGA